RNAcentral lists this ribosomal RNA (253 nucleotides) under uncultured bacterium. Its description in RNAcentral is "partial 16S ribosomal RNA". It matches the Rfam family "Bacterial small subunit ribosomal RNA", at positions 524 to 776 of the family's 1533-position model. The record is from RNAcentral.
GACAGAGGGUGCAAACGUUGUUCGGAAUUACUGGGCGUAAAGCGCGUGUAGGCGGCCCUGCAAGUCGGAUGUGAAAUCCCACGGCUCAACCGUGGAAGUGCAUUCGAAACUGCAGGGCUAGAGUCCUGGAGAGGAAGGUGGAAUGCUUGGUGUAGAGGUGAAAUUCGUAGAUAUCAAGCGGAACACCGGUGGCGAAGGCGGCCUUCUGGACAGUGACUGACGCUGAGACGCGAAAGCGUGGUGAGCAAACAGG